UACGUAGGGUGCAAGCGUUUAAUCGGAAUACUGGGCGUAAAGCGUGCGCAGGCGGUGAUGUAAGACAGAUGUGAAAUCCCCGGGCUCAACCUGGGAACUGGCAUUUGUGACUGCAUCGCUGGAGUACGGCAGAGGGGGAUGGAAUUCCGCGUGUAGCAGUGAAAUGCGUAGAUAUGCGGAGGAACACCGAUGGCGAAGGCAAUCCCCUGGGCCUGUACUGACGCUCAUGCACGAAAGCGUGGGGAGCAAACAGG
RNAcentral lists this ribosomal RNA (254 nucleotides) under uncultured bacterium. RNAcentral describes it as "partial 16S ribosomal RNA". It matches the Rfam family "Bacterial small subunit ribosomal RNA", at positions 524 to 776 of the family's 1533-position model. The record is from RNAcentral.